AGAAUCAACGCUGGCGGCGUGCCUCAGACAUGCAAGUCGAACGCGAAAGUCCCCUUCGGGGGGCAAGUAGAGUGGCGCACGGGUGAGUAACACGUAGGUAAUCUACCUUUGGAUGGGGAAUAACAACCGGAAACGGUUGCUAAUACCGCAUAAUGCAGCGGCACCUAAUGGUGACAGUUGUUAAAGCGGGGGAUCGAAAGACCUCGCGUCUGAAGAGGAGCCUGCGGCGGAGUAGCUAGUUGGUAAGGUAACGGCUUACCAAGGCAACGAUCCGUA
RNAcentral lists this ribosomal RNA (276 nucleotides) under uncultured soil bacterium. Its description in RNAcentral is "partial 16S ribosomal RNA". It matches the Rfam family "Bacterial small subunit ribosomal RNA", at positions 26 to 285 of the family's 1533-position model. The record is from RNAcentral.